This 1393-nucleotide ribosomal RNA is filed under the name uncultured bacterium. Its description in RNAcentral is "bacterial SSU rRNA". It matches the Rfam family "Bacterial small subunit ribosomal RNA". The record is from RNAcentral.
UUAGAGUUUGAUCCUGGCUCAGGACGAACUCUGGCGGCGCGCCUAACACAUGCAAGUCGAACGGUAAGGCCCGAAGUAGCAAUACGGAAGGUACACGAGUGGCGCACGGGUGCGUAACGCGUAUGUAAUCUGCCCUUGACCGGAACAAAACAGCUGGAAACGGCUGCUAAUAUUCCAUGGUCAUUUUCGGAGGCAUCUCCGGGGAUGUAAAGAUUUAUUGGUCAAGGAUGAGCAUGCGUAUUAUUAGAUAGUUGGUGGGGUAACGGCCCACCAAGUCGACGAUGAUUAGGGGUUCUGAGAGGAUUAACCCCCACACUGGAACUGAGACACGGUCCAGACUCCUACGGGAGGCAGCAGUAGGGAAUAUUGGGCAAUGGAAGGAAUUCUGACCCAGCCAUGCCGCGUGAAGGAAGACGGUCCUAUGGAUUGUAAACUUCUUUUAUCGCAGAGUAAAUUGGGGCACGUGUGCCCCACUGAGAGUAUGCGAUGAAUAAGUAUCGGCUAACUCCGUGCCAGCAGCCGCGGUAAUACGGAGGAUACGAGCGUUAUCCGGAUUUAUUGGGUUUAAAGGGUGCGCAGGCGGAUCGGUAAGUCAGGGGUGAAAAGUUCGUGCUUAACAUGAAUCGUGCCUUUGAUACUGCCGGACUAGAGUGCAAUAGACGUGGGCGGAAUGUGAUGUGUAGCGGUGAAAUGCUUAGAUAUGUCACAGAACACCGAUCGAGAAGUCAGCUCACGAGUUUGCAACUGACGCUCAUGCACGAAAGCGUGGGGAUCAAACAGGAUUAGAUACCCUGGUAGUCCACGCUGUAAACGAUGAUCACUCGUUGUUGGCCGGCGACGGUCAGUGGCCAAGCGAAAGCGAUAAGUGAUCCACCUGGGGAGUACGAUCGCAAGGUUGAAACUCAAAGGAAUUGACGGGGGCCCGCACAAGCGGAGGAGCAUGUGGUUUAAUUCGAUGAUACGCGAGGAACCUUACCCGGGCUUGAACGUAAGACGACGACGCAGGAGACUGCGUUUCCUUCGGGCGUUUUGCGAGGUGCUGCAUGGUUGUCGUCAGCUCGUGCCGUGAGGUGUUAGGUUAAGUCCUGCAACGAGCGCAACCCUUACUUUUAGUUGCUACGCAAGAGCACUCUAGCAGGACUGCCGUUGACAAAACGGAGGAAGGUGGGGAUGACGUCAAAUCAUCAUGCCCCUUAUGACCUGGGCUACACACGUACUACAAUGGCAAUCAACAAAGAGGAGCAAAGCUGUGAGGCAGAGCAAAUCUCAAAAAAUUGUCCCAGUUCGGAUUGCAGGCUGCAACUCGCCUGCAUGAAGUCGGAAUUGCUAGUAAUCGCGGAUCAGAAUGCCGCGGUGAAUACGUUCCCGGGCCUUGCACUCACCGCCCGUCAAG